CAGCACCUCAAGUGGUCAGGAUGAUUAUUGGGCCUAAAGCAUCCGUAGCCGGCGCUGUAAGUUUUCGGUUAAAUCUGUACGCUCAACGUACAGGCUGCCGGGAAUACUGCAGCGCUAGGGAGUGGGAGAGGCAGACGGUACUCGGUAGGAAGGGGUAAAAUCCUUUGAUCUAUUGAUGACCACCUGUGGCGAAGGCGGUCUACCAGAACACGUCCGACGGUGAGGGAUGAAAGCUGGGGGAGCAGACCGGAUUAGAUACCCGAGUAGUCC
RNAcentral lists this ribosomal RNA (270 nucleotides) under uncultured archaeon. RNAcentral describes it as "partial 16S ribosomal RNA". It matches the Rfam family "Archaeal small subunit ribosomal RNA", at positions 477 to 747 of the family's 1478-position model. The record is from RNAcentral.